RNAcentral lists this ribosomal RNA (253 nucleotides) under uncultured bacterium. RNAcentral describes it as "partial 16S ribosomal RNA". It matches the Rfam family "Bacterial small subunit ribosomal RNA", at positions 524 to 776 of the family's 1533-position model. The record is from RNAcentral.
UACAGAGGUCCCAAGCGUUGUUCGGAUUCAUUGGGCGUAAAGGGUGCGUAGGCGGCGCGGUAAGUCGGGUGUGAAACCUCGGAGCUUAACUCCGAAACUGCAUUCGAUACUGCCGUGCUUGAGGACUGGAGAGGAGACUGGAAUUUACGGUGUAGCGGUGAAAUGCGUAGAUAUCGUAAGGAAGACCAGUGGCGAAGGCGGGUCUCUGGACAGUUCCUGACGCUGAGGCACGAAGGUCAGGGGAGCAAACGGG